Molecule: microRNA precursor, 94 nt
Organism: Bos indicus x Bos taurus (hybrid cattle)
Lineage: Eukaryota; Metazoa; Chordata; Mammalia; Artiodactyla; Bovidae
Gene: MIR31
Product: microRNA 31
Source: Ensembl
UCCUGUAACUUGGAACUGGAGAGGAGGCAAGAUGCUGGCAUAGCUGUUGAACUGCGAACCUGCUAUGCCAACAUAUUGCCAUCUCUCUUGUCCG